CCUACGAGAGGCAGCAGUGAGGAAUAUUGGUCAAUGGACGGAAGUCUGAACCAGCCAUGCCGCGUGCAGGAAGACGGCUCUAUGAGUUGUAAACUGCUUUUGUACAAGGGUAAACCUGAAUACGUGUAUUCAGCUGAAAGUACUGUACGAAUAAGGAUCGACUAACUCCGUGCCAGCAGCCGCGGUAAUACGGAGGAUCCAAGCGUUAUCCGGAUUUAUUGGGUUUAAAGGGUGCGUAGGCGGAUUGAUAAGUUAGAGGUGAAAUGUCCGAGCUUAACUCGGGAACUGCCUCUAAAACUGUUGAUCUAGAGAGUAGAUGCGGUAGGCGGAAUGUAUGGUGUAGCGGUGAAAUGCUUAGAGAUCAUACAGAACACCGAUUGCGAAGGCAGCUUACCAAUCUAUAUCUGACGUUGAGGCACGAAAGCGUGGGGAGUAAACAGGAUUAGAUACCCGGGUAGUC
Molecule: ribosomal RNA, 460 nt
Filed under: uncultured bacterium
Lineage: Bacteria
Description: partial 16S ribosomal RNA
Rfam family: Bacterial small subunit ribosomal RNA
Source: RNAcentral